AUUCAGAUUUACUAUGAUGUGAACACAAUUAGUCAGCUACCUACGCUAAGCAAAAUAGUUCCAAAACUUCGCAGUAACUCCAAAAUCAUAGUUCCCUAUCUAUUUUAAAAUUGACUGGCCAAUUUUGUACUAAAUUUAGCAAUCGUCUUUUAAAAUUGUAUGUAUAUUUUUGCUUUACGCGAUUUUAAUAUUACUACGCCAGCGGUCGAUCAUAGCCAAAGUACUUGCAUAAAUAUAGUACAAAUUACAUGUAGUCACAAGUUAAUUAAGUGUCAUAGAACUCAAAAAUUUAGCAAGUAAUGGAAUACGGAUUUCAGAUCAGCUAACUUUAAAGCUUAUAGGGCCUAAUGCUUCAUAAGUGUAAAUUUAAGAAAAACAAUGCAUGCGUAUGAAUACGAACUAUUUUCGCCCUUACGUCAUUUUACCGCAAUCGCCAUUGUUUACAAGUUCAUCCGUGAAAGAUUGAGAAGUUUAUAUAGAAGUUCCACGUGUUAAAACGAGUUGUUUGUGAAUAAAGGCUUGUUUGUUAGAUUUCAAUUGUGGCUCAGUUGGUUGUUUGCUGAGAAGCUGUGAAACAUAAUUAUACAGGCCAUUAAGGAGGUUUUUGUCAGAUUGAUGAAUGUGAAAUUAAGAGGACCCAUUUUGAGGAUGCUUUUUAUGAAUGGAAUCACGAGAGAUGAAGUCUAAAAUGUGAUACUGUCAAUGUGACUAACCUUGAAGUAAACAGAUGACACAAUGUUUUUUCAAUGUCAUGGGCAUAUAAUGAAGAGAAAACAGAGAUGCUUGUUUGACAGAUACAGUAAUAGUAGGAGUUAUGAGGGAAGAUAGAAUGCAGUGAUAACUAUAUUGAGGCACCACUUCAUCACCAAGAACAUGAAAUGAAUUAUCAAUGUUUUCAAUGUGUUUGAACACCCAUUUUAAAUAAUACAGCUCAGAGUGAAUUUUUCAAAAUAAUUAAUUCUGUUUUCAAAGUUUUUUAUUUAGAUGUUAGUUGAUCUUGUCAAGUACUUAAUUUUUUUAGGGAUGGCAACAAUUACUAAAAUCAAUACUCGAGUACUCGGUCAUUUAGAGUAUUCGGUUACUGGGAUGAUUUCCAAUGAUCUUUAAAUUUUUAUCACACAAUAUCAACACCGUCUGCAUGCUACCUUCAUUUCUAUUUUAAUUCAUAGAAUUUGUAGCUAUAAAUAGGAUUGCAAGAAAUACAUAUAAUAAAUAUAAGCAUAAGAAAUGUCAA
Molecule: long non-coding RNA, 1234 nt
Organism: Ruditapes philippinarum (Manila clam)
Lineage: Eukaryota; Metazoa; Mollusca; Bivalvia; Venerida; Veneridae
Exons: 4
Source: RefSeq, a predicted model, not a curated record